This 501-nucleotide long non-coding RNA is filed under the name Nicotiana benthamiana. Its description in RNAcentral is "long non-coding RNA (NBEN_LNC028087)". The record is from RNAcentral. Lineage: Eukaryota; Viridiplantae; Streptophyta; Magnoliopsida; Solanales; Solanaceae.
UUAUCUCAAUAUGUAGUAACCAUUUGUCUUAUUUGUUUCACAGGAUUGGUGUUCCCAGCUUCCAGGCUCGUCCUCUGCGCUUAAAUCAGCUAUUGGAACCUAGAAAAGUUGCUCUUUGCUCGGGCUGAAAUGGUAAAAUUUUUAUUCUUUCCUUUAACUUUUGGUUGGAAUGGAAUCUAGAAAAGUUGCUCUUUGCUCGGGCAGAAAUGGUAAAUAAUUUAUUCUUUUCAUUAACUUUUGGUUGGAAUAAGUCACCUACCUUCAUAUUUCAGCUAAUUUUCCUCCAGUUUUAUGAUUUAGAGACCAAAGCAGAUCCCCUAUAGUUUCAUAGUAUGUGUCCGGCUCAUGAGAGGCGGAUCCAAGAUUCAUGAAAUUUAAUAUAAAUUUAUAACUGCUUAUAAAGAUUGAUAUGGGGGCUAGGCUAAUAUUUGACUAUUUGUUGAAGACAUUUUGCCGGCGUGCGUCCGCCUCUGCUGCUCAUAGCAAAUUGUGAUAUCUAUU